AAUUAGUUAAAAAAAAAUCUCGUAUGAAAUGGACAGAAUAUAAAAUUCACACUACAAUAGAAUUAGGUUAUGAUGAUAUAUUUUUAGAAUAUUUUUAUAUAAAUGUUCCAUUUAUGUCAAUUUUUUUUUUAAAAAAUCUAUUAAAGCCUAAAUAUAAAGUUCAAUUCAAUAAAAAAUAAAAAAUUUCUCUAUUCAACCAACUCCACCCAGUCCACUUGGCCCGAUUACAAAUAAAAAAAGAAAAAAAAAUGAUCAUCAUCUCUCAUUCUCCUCCUCCGCCGCCGCAGCCGGCGAGAUAAAAUUCCAACGGUUGGAGUUCGGCCACGAGGAUCUUGCAGGAACUGUAGAGGGCUAUAAUCGCCACGUAUCGCUCCGUCAUAGAUCGCUAAAGGAGUGGGUGCCAAAUAUCCCACAUAUAGCAACACUUUUAAAAAAUAUCAAUAAUUUAGCUAGCAGCAUUUUUUUGACAUGUACUAAUAUUUAAAAGUAUCGUUAUACAUUAUUUUUAUUGUAGUGUCAACUAAUUUUGGAUGUAAUAAUAGUAUUACUCUUUUUAAUAAAUUUUUUUUUUUAAUUUUCAUCGAAAGAAUCUCAAAAAUAUUAAAUUAUAUAUAAAACAAUAAAAGAAUAUAGUAAAAGUUAGGCCGGAUGUUUGUUGGAUGUUAUUCUAAUAUAAAGUGUAUACCAACUAGGGGUGGAAACGAGCCGAGCUCGAGCGAGCUUACCUCGGCUCAAAUUCGGCUUGAAAUUAAUUUCGAGCCUAAAUUUAAGCUCAAGCUUGGAUUGAAAUUAAUUCGAACCGAGCUCGAGCGAGUCUAAUUUCGAGUCGAGCGAGCUCAAGCCCUAAACGAGCCGUUUGAAAUUCUCAAUAUCAUACGAUCAAUAGUUUAAUUUGUAUAGGAUAUCAUCUAUAAUUUGAUACAAAAAUAUGUCUAAUAGUUCAAAGUACAAAAUAAUUAUAUGAAAUAUAGUAUUAUAAUAUAAAAAAUUAAUGAGUUGAAUAUCUAAUCUUUUCAGCCUCACAUAUCUUUUCUCCGCAUUCAUCUCCAUAUUAUUCAUUUUAUUUAUGCAGUCAAAAUAAAUAAAUUAUACAGAUAAUAUUGGAUUAAACUAUCCAAUCAUAUAUAACUAAAAUAAAAAUUUAUAUGAUAAAUAAUUUUUUACUUUAAAAAUAUUUGUAUAUUUUUCUCAAGCAUACAAUUAAGUGCAAGGUAGGCCGAGGGGCAUAUGCUGUUACUUGGUAACUUGGAGGGCUUCCGGUUGGCCACUUAGGUGAGAGACAGAAAAGAGAAGAGAGAAACAUAUGAAAAUUUAGAUCUCUGUCAAGAAAGAAAGAAGGAAAAAUGUAUAAAUUUAGUGAAAUUUGCUCUUUUAUUUGUUUAUGGGUUUGUUUUUAUGGUCAACACAUUGGCCAAUUUAACUAAAUCAGAUUAUUCACUCAGCCUAUAUAUAAUUAAAAUAUAUUAUAUAUAUUUUUUUAAUAUAUAUAUAUAUUAUAAUAUAUAUAUAGAGUUGAGCUAGAAUACUCUCGAUAGUAACGGAACGUUUUAUAUCGAGUUGUUUCGAUGAUAGAGCUUCCAAAUUGACGAUCGGCUCGUUAAAUAUGAUCUAAACCAUUUAAACUAUCUAGAAAUCAAAUUUCACGCACUUUCGAUAUUGUUCUUUAUCCAUCUAGUGAACAAAAAAUAAUGGCUGAAAAUGAAUAUUCUUUAAAAAAUGAAUGAUAGGAGUCUUGUAAUCAAGAUCAAGAGUAUAGACUCCUGUUUUAAAUAGUUUAAAGAAUUUUCUAACAAAAAUUCAAUUGAUUUGGUAUAUCUUUACAACCGUUAAACGAGAAACUGCUCUCUUAUCCACCAUUAAAAAUUACAAAUUUUGGAGAACCCUUUGAUAUCAGGACAAAUGAUGUCGAAAAAAUUGUGAAAUUUGAUUUCUAAACACUUCAAGUGGAUAGAUCAUGUUCAAUGGAGGCGAUCGUCAAUUUGGAAGCUCUAAUCCAUCGAAAACAACUCGAUAGUAAACGCCCCGUUUACUAUCAAGAGUAUUCUAGGCUCAACUCUAUAUUAUAUAUAUAUAUAUAUAAUAUAGUAUAUAUAUAUAUAUAUAUAUAUGUAGGACUACCUAUACCUAUCGAAAAUAUAGAGGAUUUGAUGCUUUUCGAAUUUUUGACCCUUUUGAUUUAAGAUUGUAUGAGUUGGAAAAUGAUUGCGGCCCUCUUUAGGAUUAAUUAAUAUCCCUAUAAAUUGAGUGGUCCCUACAAGGUAAUAAUAGUA
RNAcentral lists this long non-coding RNA (2270 nucleotides) under Ananas comosus (pineapple). RNAcentral describes it as "long non-coding RNA (ACOM_LNC005910)". Lineage: Eukaryota; Viridiplantae; Streptophyta; Magnoliopsida; Poales; Bromeliaceae. The record is from RNAcentral.